This 433-nucleotide ribosomal RNA is filed under the name uncultured bacterium. Its description in RNAcentral is "partial 16S ribosomal RNA". It matches the Rfam family "Bacterial small subunit ribosomal RNA", at positions 29 to 507 of the family's 1533-position model. The record is from RNAcentral.
AACGAACGCUGGCGGCAUGCCUAACACAUGCAAGUCGAACGAGACCUUCGGGUCUAGUGGCGCACGGGUGCGUAACGCGUGGGAACCUGCCCUUAGGUUCGGAAUAACUCCCCGAAAGGGGUGCUAAUACCGGAUAAUGUCUUCGGACCAAAGAUUUAUCGCCUUUGGAUGGGCCGGCGUUGGAUUAGCUAGUUGGUAGGGUAAAAGCCUACCAAGGCGACGAUCCAUAGCUGGUCUGAGAGGAUGAUCAGCCACACUGGGACUGAGACACGGCCCAGACUCCUACGGGAGGCAGCAGUGGGGAAUAUUGGACAAUGGGCGAAAGCGUGAUCCAGCAAUGCCGCGUGAGUGAUGAAGGCCUUAGGGUUGUAAAGCUCUUUUAUCCGGGAUGAUAAUGACAGUACCGGGAGAAUAAGCUCCGGCUAACUCCGUG